CUGAAGUUGUUUAUCUGCUCAGUGUGGAGUUAAAUCUUCAUUAAGACAUCAUGAAAACUUCAUCUGUCUCUCUGCUACUCGGUGUGUGUGUGCUGCUGCUGUCUGCACUGACUGUUUCUGCAGUCUCUCUGUAUGUCAGCCCAAACCAUCAGCAGUUCUUCAAAGGAGACCGUUAUGUCUCCCUGAGUUGUGUC
This is a non-coding RNA of Neolamprologus brichardi, 194 nucleotides long. The record is from RefSeq and is a predicted model, not a curated record. NCBI's taxonomy places the organism in Eukaryota, Metazoa, Chordata, Actinopteri, Cichliformes, Cichlidae.